CGGAGAUUUUACGUGCACCAACCAGGUCUCUAUAUUUCAGAAAAAACAAAAAAGAGGCCUUGGGAAUCAUGGUGACUUAUUUUGAUAAGGUCGGGGAGUGGGAAACUAGUUGGUCCACCCAGAAAAUAGCCUGAUGUAAUAUGCCAGGAAGAUCUGGAGCUGGGGUUUCUAGGAGUAAGCUCCUGCCUGGAUCCAUGUCUUUUGCGUACUACUUGUUUCCUCGGCUGGGCUCGCCCGCCGACUGGACAACCUACAACUCUCUUGCAAUUGCAAUCAGCGUCUGAAUAAACUAUAAUAGUUACAACUUUCAACAACGGAUCUCUUGGUUCUGGCAUCGAUGAAGAACGCAGCGAAAUGCGAUAAGUAGUGUGAAUUGCAGAAUUCAGUGAAUCAUCGAAUCUUUGAACGCACAUUGCGCCCCUUGGUAUUCCAUGGGGCAUGCCUGUUCGAGCGUCAUUUGAACCCUCAAGCCUUGCUUGGUGAUGGGCGCUUGUCCUCUUCUUUAGUACUUGGACUCGCCUUAAAAUUAUUGGCAGCCGGCAUAUAGGCCUUUGGAGCGCAGCACAUUUUGCGAUCUAAGCCGUUAUUCUGGUACCCAUUAAGCUUGUUUUACCACGUUUGACCUCGGAUCAGGUAGGGAUACCCGC
Molecule: ribosomal RNA, 647 nt
Filed under: fungal sp. E15516D
Lineage: Eukaryota; Fungi
Description: eukaryotic LSU rRNA
Rfam family: 5.8S ribosomal RNA (bases 303-456)
Source: RNAcentral